AUGCUCCCAGAGGAGCUCCUCGUGGAGAUCAUGGCACGGGUGCCCUACCGGUCCCUCUGCCGCUUCCGGUGCGUGUCGCCGUCGUGGCGCGCCCUCUGCUCCGACCCCAGCCUCCUCAAGCGGUCGCCGCAGACCCUCUCCGGGUUCUUCUGCUACUCCCUCCCAGAUCCGUGGAUAUACUACCGCGACACACGUUUCCUCAAUUUUCCCGGCGGCAGUUCAGGCUGCCGGCCCCUGAUCGACCCGUCCUUCCCUUUUCUGCACGCCGGCGGCUACACCGAUGGCUUCGUGGUCGCGGAUUGCUGCGGAGGCCUCCUCCUCGUAUGCGAGUGGUCCAAGUUACGCCAACCGCGGUAUCCGCUGGACAGAGAUUAUCUCGUGUGCAACCCUGCUACCGAGAAGUGGACCGUCUUGCCUCGCAUCGAGGAGCUGGACCCGGAGAACGUCAUCCGUCUGUGCUUCGACCCGGCCCAACCCCACUGUUUUCGGGUGUUUGUGUUCGUGCAGGAUCAUGAAAAUGAUUGCAGGCUCACUGGAGUGAAGAUCUACUCGUCCGAGACCAGAAUGUGGACUUCAGAGCAGAUUGGGUGGGGUAAAAGAACUAGUGUGAUUGAUUGUGACGAUACGGCUUCUGUUUUUCUGAACGGCACUCUGCAUCUGAUCGAUUACGAUUCUCGUAUUGUUACCGUGGACAUGGAUGGCAAGACUUGGCAGAAAUUUCCGAGCCCAUGCCGUGAUGACGGAUGCAUCGGGCAAUCUCAGGGGCGCUUGCACGCUAUGCAGAUAGAUUGCUAUCAUGAUUACGGUUGCCUACUUUCAGUUUGGGUUCUUGAGGAUUUUGCUCGUGGACGUUGGACUCUGAAGCAUACUGCAAACGAGCCCUGCUCCGGUGCAACCCCCUAG
This 903-nucleotide ribosomal RNA is filed under the name Triticum aestivum (bread wheat). RNAcentral's name for it is "partial small subunit ribosomal RNA". Lineage: Eukaryota; Viridiplantae; Streptophyta; Magnoliopsida; Poales; Poaceae. The record is from RNAcentral.